AACCUUUGUUAAGGAACUCGGCAAAAUGUCCCCGUAAGUUAGCGAGAAGGGGAGCCUGAGCGAUCAGGCCACAGAAACCAGGCCCAAGCGACUGUUUACCAAAAACACAAGUUUCUGCAAAAUCGAAAGAUGACGUAUAGGAGCUGACACCUGCCCGGUGCUGGAAGGUUAAGGGGAAGGCUUAGAGCAAUCGAAGGCUAGAACUUAAGCCCCAGUAAACGGCGGCCGUAACUAUAACGGUCCUAAGGUAGCGAAAUUCCUUGUCGGGUAAGUUCCGACCCGCACGAAAGGUGUAACGAUUUGGGCACUGUCUCAACAAAGGAUCCGGUGAAAUUGUAGUAGUCGUGAAGAUGCGACUUACCCACGCUAGGACGGAAAGACCCCGUGGAGCUUUACUGUAGGCUGAUAUUGGAUUUUGAGAUUAGACGUACAGGAUAGUUGGGAGACAAUGAAGUGUGUACGCCAGUAUACACAGAGUCACCCUUGGGAUACCAACCCUCUAAUAUCAAAAUUCUAACAUUGACCCAUGAAUCUGGGCAAUGGACAUUGUCAGUUUGGCAGUUUGACUGGGGCGGUCGCCUCCCAAAAAGUAACGGAGGCGUUCAAAGGUUCGCUCAGAAUGGACGGAAACCAUUCGCAGAGUACAAAGGCACAAGCGAGCUUAACUGCGAGAUAUACAGAUCAAGCAGAGUAGAAAUACGGACUUAGUGAUCCGGUGGCACCGCAUGGAAGGGCCAUCGCUCAACGGAUAAAAGCUACCCCGGGGAUAACAGGCUUAUCUCCCCCAAGAGUCCACAUCGACGGGGAGGUUUGGCACCUCGAUGUCGGCUCAUCGCAUCCUGGGGCUGAAGCAGGUCCCAAGGGUAUGGCUGUUCGCCAUUUAAAGCGGUACGCGAGCUGGGUUCAGAACGUCGUGAGACAGUUCGGUCCCUAUCUGCCGUGGGCGUAGGAAGGUUGAGGAGAGCUGACCCUAGUACGAGAGGACCGGGUUGGACGAGCCACUGGUGUACCAGUUGUUCUGCCAAGAGCAGUGCUGGGUAGCCAAGCUCGGAAGGGAUAACCGCUGAAAGCAUCUAAGCGGGAAGCCCACUCCAAGAUGAGCCUUCCCUUGAGGGUGCAGGAAGACUACCUGCUUGAUAGGCUGGGGGUGUAAGCCCUGUGAGGGGUUGAGCUGACCAGUACUAAUAACCCGAAUGGCUUCUGCGA
RNAcentral lists this ribosomal RNA (1206 nucleotides) under metagenome. RNAcentral describes it as "bacterial LSU rRNA". It matches the Rfam family "Bacterial large subunit ribosomal RNA", at positions 1697 to 2925 of the family's 2925-position model. The record is from RNAcentral.